RNAcentral lists this transfer RNA (57 nucleotides) under Plectus aquatilis. RNAcentral's name for it is "tRNA-Leu". The record is from RNAcentral. Lineage: Eukaryota; Metazoa; Nematoda; Chromadorea; Plectida; Plectidae.
GCGCUUUUAGUAUAAAUUAUGAUACGUUAAAGUUAGAGUUUAAAGAUUUUUUGUGCU